Molecule: long non-coding RNA, 2708 nt
Filed under: Drosophila guanche
Lineage: Eukaryota; Metazoa; Arthropoda; Insecta; Diptera; Drosophilidae
Source: RNAcentral
GUCAUAUUCACAGUACACCAGACAAGUAACUGCUUCUGUAAGAGGCUCAGAAAAACGUCCUUCAAAUCGGAUGGAUCCUUGAGAAAUCUAAUUUGAGCAUACAGUUGAAUUAUGAUGAUCUGCUGUUAAGUCAAAUGAUAAUAUAAAACUGUUUUUAUCAAACAUUUCCUUUGUGAUUUGCAAGCCUCGAUCAUAAUGUCUUAUGCCACUUGAUCUGAAUAACAUGUUAUAUCCUCUAGAGCUUUGAGCAUUUUCAGAAUUGGAGAAAUCAAAUUCAAGUGCCUGCGAUGAUACUUGCACUCCAUUUACCAUUAGUUUAAAGCGUUGAAUUUUAAAAUGAUCAAAGUUGAAGGGAUUUAAUGUCCGAUUUCCUGAAUAUGAUUUGUUUUUUACCAUGCAAAAGGCCAAGAAAUUAGGUAGCUGUCCAAUAACUGCGUUGUCAAUUGAUAGCUUAUUAUUUCCUGGAUAUAUUGUAAAUGCAAGAACUUCAAGAAAAUUCACACCAAUAAUCUGGAUACAACAAAGCAAAAACAAUUUCAUUGGACUAGACAAAGAUGAAUGGAUGCAGUUGAUUACCUACAAGGAGUAUAUUCAAAGCUUGAUCAGUAUGAUUUCUUGAUGCCUAGGGGAUGAUCAGGGGAAAGCAACAUUUCGGCUGCCCGAUCCCUAGAGGGGGAAGCUGGGCCAUAGACCAACGCCGAAGCUAAACGGUUCACAUACGCCGAAAAGAGGAGUGCAGGGCACAUACUCCGUCGGCAGUACGCGAGCACAGAAGCCAGCCCCUCAGAGGACUUGCUGGGGCCGCUUGUCCCCCAUCAAACCGAGAGGGAAAAAGAAACCCCCCUGGUGGUCGAAGAACAUUGAAAUCCUACGUAAAAGCUGCAGAAAUAAUUUUAAUAAAGCCAAAAACAGCAACGAGGACGAUCUAUGGGCAGACUACAAGACCAGCCUUGACCUAUACAAAAAAGAAACUAGGAGAGCAAAAAGAGCCUCCUGCCAAAAAUUCUGUACCGAAAUCGAAGAAACGGCAGAAGCCGCAAGGCUGCGCAAGAUCCUCUCGAAAACGAAUACCUCUGUGUGAUACAUCAGGAGUACAGAUGGUGCAUGGACCAACUCCAGCAAUUAGUCCCUACAUAUCCUACUCGAUACCCACUUUAAAGGGUGCACAACCGAACCACCGGAACGCCCCGGUGAAGGCCCAGCCACAUCGAUGGCGCACCUACUCACAAAACGGAACAUUUUCUGGGCGGUGAACAGCUUCAAACCGUUCAAAUCGCCAGGUCCAGACAAGGUGAUCCCAGCUCAACUUCAGAGAGCUGGGGACCGCUGGCUACAAUGUAUAUUCAAAAGGAUACUAAAGGUAGGAAAGGUUCCUAAAGCAUGACUCAAGGCAGAAAUUGUCUUCAUCCCGAAAUCGGGAAAAGCCUCCUACUCGACGGCAAAGGACUUCAGACCAAUUAGUCUGACCUCCUUCCUCCUAAAAAUAUUUGAAAGAAUAGUCGGUCUACAUAUGAGGACCUUCAGAUGCUGUCAGACUCACAACACGCAUACCGGAAAGGUAAAUCCACAGAAACGGCCCUACACGAAGUCAUUUCAGGUAUAGAGAAAGCUCUACACCUUAAGGAAUACACCCUAGCGGCCUUCCUCGAUAUUGAGGGAGCCUUCAACAACGUCGAGAUAGGAGCCAUGACUGACCUGGGGGUGGACUGCCACUUGGUGAUGCUCAUCGAUCAAUUGCUCACAUGAAGGACGGUGAAAUCAUCAAAGGAUUCGUGCACUCAGACAAGGUAUGUGAAAAGAGGUCCCCCGCAAGGAUGUGUAAUGUCUCCCCUCCUAUGGAACAUUGCAGUCAAUAAGAUUCUAUAUGACUUGGAGGGGGGUGGUUGCAAAGUAGUGACAUAUGUAGACGACGUUGUCCUUAUGAACAUAAGGGAAAAUUCCCCCAAACAAUCUGUGAUCUUAUGACCACAAAACUUGCUCGAUUGUCAGAAUGGACAAGAUUGGCGAAUUUGGCGUUAAUGCCUCGAAAACGGAACUUGUGCUAUUCACUAACAAGUGCAAAGCUAAACAAAUGUAGGUUAACCUUUAGCGACAGUGCCAGUUACCUUGGGUUGGUGAUAGACAGGAAGUUAAAUUGGAACCUAAACACGAAAGAAAGAGUGAAGAUGGCCACUAUGGCCCUAUACACCUGCAAAAAAGCCAACGGACUAAAAUGGGGCAUGAACCCACGUAUUGCCACGUCCAUUGCCAGACAUCUGGAAAAAACGCACCGCUGAACUAUGCAAACUAAGCAGACAUAUGUGCAGCGUAGUCAUUCGCUCUCUUGCAGGGCACUGGCUAAUAGGCAACCAUGCAAAUAGACUGGGUGCCCCCCAUAACGACUUUUGUCGUAGCUGUAGAGACGAGGACGAGGAGGAGACAGUACAAAAUCUGUUCUGUUCCUGCCCGGCUCUCAGUAGAAGGAGGUUGUAAUAUGUGGGCUCACCUUUUCUUAACGACAUUUCAGAAAUGGCUACUAUAGGCCCCAGGAAGAUAGCAACCUUUUUGAGAGCAUCUGGAUGGGAGCACAGUUGAUACCCUGACAAACGGGAGGAUAACCUAACCUUAACCUAACCUAACCUAUGGUUUGAUGAAACACACAAUUCCUGGAUAGAUAAAAAAAGUAUAUUAAAAUAAUUAAACAGAAAGAAACAAUUUUUUUAUAGCGU